This 396-nucleotide ribosomal RNA is filed under the name uncultured bacterium. RNAcentral's name for it is "partial 16S ribosomal RNA". It matches the Rfam family "Bacterial small subunit ribosomal RNA", at positions 338 to 731 of the family's 1533-position model. The record is from RNAcentral.
CCUACGGGUGGCUGCAGUGAGGAAUAUUGGUCAAUGGUCGGGAGACUGAACCAGCCAAGCCGCGUGAAGGAUGAAUGUCCAGAGGAUCGUAAACCUCUUUUAUCAGGGAACAAAAGCAGGGACGUGUCCCCGGAUGAGUGUACCUGAUGAAAAAGCAUCGGCUAACUCCGUGCCAGCAGCCGCGGUAAUACGGAGGAUGCGAGCGUUAUCCGGAUUUAUUGGGUUUAAAGGGUGCGGAGGUGGUCUGUUAAGUCAGGUGUCAAAGCCCGGGGCUCAACCCUAGCACCGCCGUUGAGACUGGCAGUCUCGAGUUGGAGAGAAGUAGGCGGAAUGCGCGGUGUAGCGGUGAAAUGCAUAGAUAUCGCGAAGAACUCCGAUUGCGAAGGCAGCAUGCCG